GACGAACGCUGGCGGCGCGCCUAACCCAUGCAAGUCGAACGAGCGAGAGAGAGCUUGCUUUCUCAAGCGAGUGGCGAACGGGUGAGUAACGCGUGAGGAACCUGCCUCAAAGAGGGGGACAACAGUUGGAAACGACUGCUAAUACCGCAUAAGCCCACGACCCGGCAUCGGGUAGAGGGAAAAGGAGCAAUCCGCUUUGAGAUGGCCUCGCGUCCGAUUAGCUAGUUGGUGAGGUAACGGCCCACCAAGGCGACGAUCGGUAGCCGGACUGAGAGGUUGAACGGCCACAUUGGGACUGAGACACGGCCCAGACUCCUACGGGAGGCAGCAGUGGGGAAUAUUGCACAAUGGGGGAAACCCUGAUGCAGCGACGCCGCGUGGAGGAAGAAGGUCUUCGGAUUGUAAACUCCUGUUGUGGAGGAAGAUAAUGACGGUACUCAACAAGGAAGUGACGGCUAACUACGUG
RNAcentral lists this ribosomal RNA (466 nucleotides) under uncultured bacterium. RNAcentral's name for it is "partial 16S ribosomal RNA". It matches the Rfam family "Bacterial small subunit ribosomal RNA", at positions 28 to 507 of the family's 1533-position model. The record is from RNAcentral.